AAUUUAAUUUAGUUUAAUUAUGCUGGACUUGCAUUCCGGAUUAUAGCUAGAUUUUAGCUUUAAAUUA
Molecule: transfer RNA, 67 nt
Filed under: Cipangopaludina ussuriensis
Lineage: Eukaryota; Metazoa; Mollusca; Gastropoda; Architaenioglossa; Viviparidae
Description: tRNA-Ala
Source: RNAcentral